CUUCACCCCUCACCCAAACUUAUUACCGACCCAAUCUUCCUCUCUUCUUCCUCUUUCUCUCUCGUGCACGGACAACCCGACAUCGACGGAGAGCCUUCUCCACCUGCAAUCUCGGCUUCGUCGCGUCAUCGGAGGGAAAGCGUCGUCGGAUCUCGACAGUACCAGCCAUCUCUGGCUGAGUGGUCGACUCUUCGACCGUUCUUGCUCGCGGUCGGCAGCAGCUCGACGUCUAGGGCACGACGGGGGAGUUGAUUCGCGUAGUUCCCCGCCGAUCGAUCUCCUCGUUCCUCCUCCUCGAUCUGUUCACUGGAGAGUGAUCCACAUCUCUACACCAACUGGAUUAGAUCGGGUGAUACCACUUGGAGGCAACCAAUUGAGUGGGUGGCAUAAGAUCAGCUAAUUGGUGGAUUUCUCCUCUAUUGAUCUUUACUUCUACACUUCUUGUAGCUGUUGAAGUCUUUGUGAAGAGGUGGAGGUUUGUUUGAGGGUUCUUGAUAGCAGUAGGUAGGAGUCUUGUUGGCUGUGAGAUUCGGAAUUUGUUGUCAAAACCUCAAGGACCUUGAUACGUGACGAGCCACAUGACGUGAGUGGUUCUGUUGAUACGAGAUAUAUCGAUGCGGAUAAAGGAAAAGGAUGGAUAAACUAAGGGAGCGGCAGGAGGGGCAAGAGAUGUGUAUGGUAGUGGCUCGACUAAGGAAAAGAUCUACUUAUGUUAAUUUAUGCUUGAUAUGAACUAUGUCUAUCUUAUGUUAAUGUUUUGCAUGCUUACAUAAUACUUAUUCAUGCUUAUGUUGGAAAUUGAUAUCAUGACUUUUUAAAAUUCAAA
This is a long non-coding RNA of Zingiber officinale, 826 nucleotides long. RefSeq lists it as uncharacterized. NCBI's taxonomy places the organism in Eukaryota, Viridiplantae, Streptophyta, Magnoliopsida, Zingiberales, Zingiberaceae. The transcript has 5 exons. The record is from RefSeq and is a predicted model, not a curated record.